Molecule: long non-coding RNA, 4571 nt
Organism: Scatophagus argus
Lineage: Eukaryota; Metazoa; Chordata; Actinopteri; Scatophagidae
Exons: 2
Source: RefSeq, a predicted model, not a curated record
UUUAAAAAAAAAAAGCAGGUAGACGACGGAUUAGCAGCAAUAGCUACCGGCUUCUCUGAAGAUAAAAUGCUGACUGUUCACCGACGUCAUGCGGAAGCCGCUUUUUGUGUGGAGGCUGUCUCAAACGUCAUCAACACACCCUGCCGACGUAACGCUGAAAAAAAGCUCAUGAACAUUUCGCAAUCAGCUGCCAUUAGAAAAAACAUGCCAGGUAUCCUGUCCCGGGGUUUUUUAUCUCUCAAGCAAAGAUUACUUACCGCUUAGGAUUAAUCUUUAUGUUCUGUAUGUAGAUAAUUGGUUUCUCACACUUGAUCUACUUUUUGACCUUGGGUCAGUCACAUUUCUUCUGUCACAUUUCUAUCAGAUGGACUGGCUACAGAGGAAACAAUGGAAGCUCAUUCUUGCCAGAAAUGGUCUCUCAUAGAAAAGAGACCACCACCACAGCAGAACAAGACUGAGUGGAUCGCAAAUUCACAGUGAAACUAUAUCGAUUCUCUCAGGGAGACUCAGUUUUCUUACCCUCUCCCAUAGUUGUGCACAAACUCAGAAUUAGCUACACUGAGCCAGUAGGGAUUUGAUGUUUUUACUCAAUGAUACCACGGAAGGAGGAACAAUGGCUGUUGACGUAAGACUCAAAGCUUUCAGUCAACAGCCAACUACAGCCUGUCACCCUGAUGCCCAAAUGUUGUAGGACAGAGCGAGGAGUUGAAUUUUGAAAGUAUUUGACAUGCAUACAUAAUUAAACCACUUGUAUUUGCUGAGUUUAACCACAUGGAUUUAGAGUCUGAUUAAGAUAUCUCAACACGUAGUGACCACUUACAUGAACUUUUCACAGAUAUUAAUGGUCCCCUGAGGACUCAAAAUGAUUUUAGUGACUACCUGACCUUUCAGAAACUGGUGGAAAAAUUCCAUAAAACUUGCAGUUGAUAAUCAUGGGCUUCAGAGGAUGAAUUCUAAUGUUUAUGGCGAUCACCUGACCUUUCCUGUAGCACCACCAUUAUCACAAAAUGUCAGCUUAUUUCCCCCUCUUUCAAAGUGAGUUUUCGCAGACUUUUCAGACUCUGUGUUGAGAGGGGACUGUAAGAUCUUAUUGUGAUGCAGCCUGCAUAACCUUAUUUUGGUUUUUCCAGUAUAUUUUACAAUGGAGUACAAAGUGUGGGCUGUAACAGUUUCAUCAGAAGUUCUGUCGAUUGUGUGUGUUUUUGAGAAUACGACACCCAUAUUAUUGUUCAUGUCGAUUUGGCAAUGUGAGUCACUUCCUCCAUCUGCCAGUAAAUGACUACUAGGCGAGACCAGCUGGUGACGCCUCCUGUGUGGCUCGGGUUACACUGUGACGCCCCUUAUGCAAGAUAAGCUGUCAUGAUAAUGAACAUGAUUCAGAUAAGACAUAUCAAACCAGUUUGGCUUUGUUUGUUUACAGAAUAUAUGACCUUUUAUAAUGCUGGUAAAUAACUGUAGUGCAAAGGCAACAUUAAAUCUACACAGUGGAUGAUAACAAACUUGAACUGUCAGCCAGUGAAUUUCCACUGACUUGUUGUGACAUGGUUAAACGUGCUUUGUCAGUGUGUCCGGUACUCGUAUGCCGACAUUGUGUGUGGUGGUCAAAUGUCCGUUUGCUUCGUACAAACUGGACUGGUGUUGGUGUUGUGACCCUUUAAAAUGAAGCAGUGUCUUCCCCUUCUCAUAGGUUGCAUAUGUCUAUGAAUUCUGCAGCCAAAGAUUGAUGUUCCCUUAUCAGAUUGUUUCAUUUGAACAUUUUCAUAGACCUGAAGACUGCUCAAAUUAAGCAGUAUUUCAUAAGAAAAAAUAAAAUCAGAAAAAUAAGCAUUUACACAUAAUGUAAUAGACAUUGAUGUGUUGACAUGUUAAUUUGCCUUUUAAGAACUGAGAAUUAGAUGAGAAUAACAACACAACUCUAAAGUCUGUUACAAGAAAUACUCUGAGAAUGUGUUGUUUAUUCACUUAUAUCUAAUCACUGUGUGAGGUGAAAUCACUUCUUCUAGGUAUUCUUGUUGACACAGAGUGACAGAGAUGUUUGUUUCAUCAUGUUUAUUCUAUCAUUUCUGUUGUUAGCCUAGGGAGUGUUAGACCCUUUUUCUAUGCCUGCACUCAUUUGCUGCUUCACUCCUAAGGGGCAUCAAUCAUUCAUCAAAAGCAAAAUGAAGCCGGUUGUCUGACAGUAAACAGUCCACUUCAAGUUAAUUAAGCCCAGUGUGCCAAUAAAGUCAGCAAAGGCUAUCUUUGCACUCGAGGAAAAACAGUACAGUUCCAGUCAGAGCUUGUGUGAACAGUAUUUCAUCUUUGUUUCGCUUUGAUGUGGGCUUCACUGAUCUCAUGAUGUUGUUUUAACCUUGUUUCCAACUUUAGUAUUAAGUUUUAUGUAGAAUCGUCACAGUAGGAUCCUAAUGUGUUCUUUUGUAAACUGAUAACAUCUAUAUGUUAAAAAAAAAAUAAAACAAAACAAAACAAACAAAAAAGACCCUUACAUUUAUUCACUGGGCUAAAAAGUGUAACUUUUUAAUGGCCCGCCAUUAAUAUUGUAUUGGAACAUUGACCAUUGCUGUUUCUAAAGGCUAGAAUGACAAAUAUGGGCAGACAGACUUUGCCAUUUAAAAGUCACUCAAAUAUAAAUCUUAUUCAAUAUUUAACAUUUAACACUUUAAUUUUUUACGUUAAUGCAGGGUGGUUUGUCCUCUGCAUCUGACAUGUCCGCAGGGGGGAUCCACAUUGCAGUGCCUGGAGACCAGCUUCUUUAAUCAAGAGAAAAAACAGGACUACUCUUAAAUUAUAUCAUGUAUGUCUUUGGAGAUGGAGGAAAUGAGGGGACUGUGUGAACAUCAAGAAAACAUGCACGUGAACUCCAGAAAGGCCUAAGUUAAUCAUAAUGGAUUUUAAACCCGCAGAUUCUCGUCAUAGGUUACAGAGCGACUGUCUAUUCAGUGAUAAUGUGUCCUCAGAAUUCUGACUGACCUUGGAAACAAAAUCUGAUAAUCUCAAUUUUUCAAUCAACUUCAAGAGAGCCUUAAAGUGAAAAAAACUGGAAAUGUGAACAUCUAUAGUGUAUUUCCAGUGAACAACUACCUCUGCUGAGUUUGAUUUCGUGAUAUGAUCAGAAGCUCCAGAACAGCGACAGAGGCGACCCUGCAGGGACUUUGGUUUUUGUCAGCUACUGUUCUGAAGUCAUGAAUGAUCUUUCAGUCUCAGUUUAACAUCAAAUUUCGAUGUGAAUUUUUGCAAUCAACAUAUUCUAACACAUGAAUGAAAAAUUAAAACCCCAUUCAUUUUUUAAAAUGAAUAAAUAAUCAGUACCACUGUUUUGACACCUCAAAGAGUAUGAAUGUGAAUGAGGAUUUCCUUAACUAAAACAUCAUUCAAUGAAGCCUGAAUUCAUGAAGUGCACUCAAAUGAUUUUUCAGAUGCGAUAUGUGAGGAGACCUGGUGAGAGGUAUAUUGUAAUAAUUUAAGUUUAAAUGAACACUGUAGGCUGCCAAAUUAGAAAAUAAGAAAUUAUGGAAAACCUCAGAGUUAGGAUGGUUCAGUAAAGGAUGCAGAUAAGGGAGUAGACCAAGACCGAAGGAAAACAAUGGCAAAAAAUUCAGAAUUACUAGUUUCUUGCCCAAAGCACAACAGUAAGCUAACCAAGUGAAAAAUCAGUGGCCUUUGUAAGGAAAAGGGUGAGGAUACAUUUGGAGUUUCCUAAAAGGCGAUAGACUCUGAUGAAAUGAAAAUGAUCUCCCUGCGCAGUGAGACAAAAGGCUCUGUCAAAUGGGACUUAGACACAGUAUCCAUCUCCGACAGGCUUUACUUUCAAGUAUCAUGGCUGACCACUUUAUAUAUAGACAAAGAAAAUGAUGAAUCGAGCUGAAUGCAGAUACAUUUCUCAGUAGAAGCUCCCUCAUAGUGAAAAGAUAUUAAACCAGGCUGAUGGUAUGUAACAAUGGCACUGAGCAUUCAGCUAGAUAUGAGCAUGCACCCAAAACCCACUCUCCAGUAACAUGAAAUACAGAGAAAGUUAAGUGAGUGAAACAAUUUUGUAAUCAGUUUAUACGCUGUAACAUAUCCUGUGAAUUGUUCAGUGAAAGCUACUAAAUGAUCCAGUUUUCACAAAGUAAAGCAAAGAGAAUAUAUCCAUCUUAUUACUUCGAGACAAUUUAAUUUUGGGAACUCAAAUAUAAUUACAAGAACUAAAUUAGGAUUUUAAUUUUAACCAUCACAGAAGAAUAGAAACCAUUGAGGGAGCCUUACUGAAUUUAUUGUGUAACGUAUCAAAGUUAAUUAAAGUUGGUCUUCAGAAAAAAGCUUAACACUACUGUAUAUUUCCAUUUUUCAGCCCAAAGCAGAGCAAAUGAUUAGCCAUGUAUAAAAUAAUGAAUGAGCUGAAUACUAAAACUUAAAACUAAUUCGAGUUGUGUUUUUUGAUGCUUAGUACAUUUUAGAGCCAGUAGGUGGUGCUAUAGAGCUUCCUGUUACUUUUGGAACUCUUCAAACACAGAGUAUCUCUUGUUAGAUCAUUCAACAAACAUUUUGAUAUUUGAUAUACAGCAAAGAUGUAAUUAUUACCAUUAAAGAUA